Facklamia hominis is the source of this 91-nucleotide transfer RNA. It matches the Rfam family "tRNA". Rfam says of the family: Transfer RNA (tRNA) molecules are approximately 80 nucleotides in length. Their secondary structure includes four short double-helical elements and three loops (D, anti-codon, and T loops). The record is from Rfam. NCBI's taxonomy places the organism in Bacteria, Bacillati, Bacillota, Bacilli, Lactobacillales, Aerococcaceae.
GGAGAGUUGUCCGAGCUGGCCGAAGGAGCACGGUUGGAAACCGUGUAGACGGAUAAUAUUCGUCUCAAGGGUUCGAAUCCCUUACUCUCCG